GGCCGGUUAGCUCAGUUAGUUGAGCGUAGCGCUAACAACGCUAAGGUCGUGGGUUUGAUUCCCAUUCGGUCC
RNAcentral lists this transfer RNA (72 nucleotides) under Apaloderma vittatum (bar-tailed trogon). It matches the Rfam family "tRNA". From Rfam's summary of the family: Transfer RNA (tRNA) molecules are approximately 80 nucleotides in length. Their secondary structure includes four short double-helical elements and three loops (D, anti-codon, and T loops). The record is from Rfam by way of RNAcentral. Lineage: Eukaryota; Metazoa; Chordata; Aves; Trogoniformes; Trogonidae.